This 425-nucleotide ribosomal RNA is filed under the name uncultured bacterium. RNAcentral's name for it is "bacterial SSU rRNA". It matches the Rfam family "Bacterial small subunit ribosomal RNA", at positions 506 to 929 of the family's 1533-position model. The record is from RNAcentral.
UGCCAGCAGCCGCGGUAAUACAGAGGUCCCAAGCGUUGUUCGGAUUCACUGGGCGUAAAGGGUGCGUAGGUGGCAGGGUAAGUUUGAUGUGAAAUCUCCGAGCUUAACUCGGAAACUGCAUUGAAUACUAUCCUGCUCGAGGUUUGGAAGGGGGACUGGAAUUCUCGGUGUAGCAGUGAAAUGCGUAGAUAUCGAGAGGAACACCAGUGGCGAAGGCGAGUCCCUGGACAACACCUGACACUGAGGCACGAAAGCUAGGGGAGCAAACAGGAUUAGAUACCCUGGUAGUCCUAGCCGUAAACGGUGCAUAUUUGCUGUAAAAGGAAUCGACCCCUUUUGUGGCGUAGCCAACGCGUUAAAUAUGCCGCCUGGGAAGUACGGUCGCAAGAUUAAAACUCAAAGGAAUUGACGGGGGCCCGCACAAG